Molecule: transfer RNA, 68 nt
Filed under: Marmota monax (woodchuck)
Lineage: Eukaryota; Metazoa; Chordata; Mammalia; Rodentia; Sciuridae
Description: tRNA.Ala
Source: RNAcentral
GGAUUGUGGCUUAGCGGUAGAGUGCUCACCUCGCACAUGCGAAAUCCCGGGUUUGAUCCUCAGCACCA